AGACGCAAGUAGCGCCAGGUUCGGCUUAAUUAAAGAACGUGGGUGAGAGUAACUGUUCACCAUGACGGUAUUUAACCAGAAAGCCACGGCUAACGUGCCAGCAGCCGCGGUAAUACGUAGGUGGCAAGCGUUAUCCGGAUUUAUUGGGCGUAAAGCGAGCGCAGGCGGUCUUUUAAGUCUAAUGUGAAAGCCUUCGGCUCAACCGAAGAAGUGCAUUGGAAACUGGGAGACUUGAGUGCAGAAGAGGACAGUGGAACUCCAUGUGUAGCGGUGAAAUGCGUAGAUAUAUGGAAGAACACCAGUGGCGAAGGCGGCUGUCUGGUCUGUAACUGACGCUGAGGCUCGAAAGCAUGGGUAGCGAACAGGAUUAGAUACCCUGGUAGUCCAUGCCGUAAACGAUGAUUACUAAGUGUUGAGGGUUUCCGCCCUUCAGUGCUGCAGCUACGCAUUAGAUUAAAGACCGCCUGGCGCUUUACGACCGCAAAUCCGGAUAACUUGCACUACGAUUGACGGGCGCUGGCACGUAGUUAGCGUGGAGCUUGGUUAAUCCGCAGCUGGAAAGUUACUCUACCCAGUCUUGACUCUUCUCAACCUAAGAGUUUACGAGCCGACCCUUCGACAGAAUACAGUGGUGCAUGGUUGCUCAUCAGACUCGUGUCGUGAUUGUUGGGUUAAGAUCCGCACAGCUGCCCCUAAUAGUUGGGCCAGUCUCAGUUGGGCACUCAGUGGACUGCCGUACAAACCGAAGGUGGGACACGUCAAAUCAUCAUGCCCCUUGUGAGCCGUCUCACCACACGUAGCUACAAUGCGGCGGGUCACAGGGAACCGCGAGGUUUAGCAAUCUUUAAAAGAAAACCAGGCGGUUUUCUCGUUGACGUAGCUAGCACUCGUCACGAAGUCGAUCCCUAGCUAAUCUGCGGAUCAGUCCACGGUGAUACGUACCCGGCCUUGCACCACCCCGUAAAUCUCAUGAGUUUGAAGCACCCAUAACUAACGGAAGUCGUCGACU
This 1009-nucleotide ribosomal RNA is filed under the name Pediococcus acidilactici. RNAcentral describes it as "bacterial SSU rRNA". It matches the Rfam family "Bacterial small subunit ribosomal RNA", at positions 409 to 1447 of the family's 1533-position model. The record is from RNAcentral. Lineage: Bacteria; Bacillati; Bacillota; Bacilli; Lactobacillales; Lactobacillaceae.